UCGUAACGCUCCGACUGCGCGUCUCUACCGAUUGAAAGGCUGCCCCUUGUGGGCGGCCUUUUUUGUUGGUGUUU
Molecule: small RNA, 74 nt
Filed under: Celeribacter halophilus
Lineage: Bacteria; Pseudomonadati; Pseudomonadota; Alphaproteobacteria; Rhodobacterales; Roseobacteraceae
Description: suhB
Source: RNAcentral